Molecule: ribosomal RNA, 253 nt
Filed under: uncultured bacterium
Lineage: Bacteria
Description: partial 16S ribosomal RNA
Rfam family: Bacterial small subunit ribosomal RNA
Source: RNAcentral
UACGGAGGCCCCAAGCGUUGUUCGGAUUUAUUGGGCGUAAAGGGCGUGUAGGCGGUCAAGUAAGUGGAAUGUGAAAUGCCUCGGCUUACCCGAGGACCUGCAUCCCAAACUGCUUGGCUUGAGUAUGGGAGAGGAUGAGGGAAUUCCUGGUGUAGCGGUGAAAUGCGUAGAUAUCAGGAGGAACACCGGUGGCGAAAGCGCUCAUCUGGCCCAAUACUGACGCUGAGGCGCGAAAGCUAGGGGAGCAAACGGG